Ceratotherium simum simum (southern white rhinoceros) is the source of this 148-nucleotide non-coding RNA. The record is from RefSeq and is a predicted model, not a curated record. NCBI's taxonomy places the organism in Eukaryota, Metazoa, Chordata, Mammalia, Perissodactyla, Rhinocerotidae.
AGGGAAAUCAGAGAGAUAUUUUCAUCUCCUGCUUGUCUGACUGGAAGUUUUUUAAAGGAAAGAUUAACUGCAGAAAUGAUGUCUAUUAAUUUGGAUGUAAAUAAAGCAAGAAACACCUUUAAGGAGUUAACCCAAAAGGACUGGAUUA